AACCAUAGAAACCUGCGGAGUACCUGCGGAAGGAUCAUUACUGAAUUUGGAGCCUAAAAAAAAUUCUUUUUAGGCCUCUCAUCCUCAAAAUCUGUGGAAGUAAAAAUAGUGUUUCGGUGCCGAAGGGCACCGUAUUUUAACGCCGAGAAUUAAUUUUUGUCUGAAGAAAUUCAAAAUGAAAAUAAAAAACUUUCAACAACGGAUCU
Molecule: unclassified non-coding RNA, 206 nt
Filed under: soil metagenome
Description: partial contains 5.8S ribosomal RNA, internal transcribed spacer 2, and large subunit ribosomal RNA
Source: RNAcentral